UCUUUUUACCAUAUUCCACAGACACCAGGCCCUGGUACAUACCGUGUUUCUGAUCCAAAUACCGUCAAGAUGAAACUUCCUGCGUAUUCCAUGACUGGUCGCAACUGCAUGCCGGGUGACAAUACCCAGAAACCAGGCCCAGGAGCACAUUCACCAGAAAGGGUAACCAUGUGUUUGUUUCUGAUUCAUUCUGAUUAUCAGUAAAUCUGCCAGCUUCAGUAUACCAUACCUAAGUUGAAUGCAUGGUUGAUGUCAAUUGUUUAACCCACUGAGUGCCUGGUGUUGGACAGAUCGUGUAAAAUAAUAACCUCCACAUACACUAACCACCGUGCUAUAUACAAUCUGUGUUUGUUUCUUAUAGGUUUAUAUCAACAAGAAGAUUGCACCAAAGUUUUCAUUUGGUAUCCGCUGGUCUGAAUACACUGCACCAUUAAUAGCUGAACCAAUUGACUGAAGAUGCUGUGCAUUAUAAUAUGACUUCAAUAUUUAGACAAAUUAUCAUAUCAUACACUUGUCUUUAGACACAAUAUUUUUGUAUAUAUUAUGGGUUUUUGCCUGCUGCAAUCAGCUUGCUAAUUAUACUUUAAAGAUGAGGUCAAGUCUGUUCUGCGCAAGUGACUGGGCCUUCUGGUUUAAUUAAACAAUACCCACAUUUCAGGAUUUCAGGUUUUGCCGAAUGUUAAUGACAAAUGUUGUCAGUUGACAAUGUCUAUUCAGAUGACAUUGACAGCGUAUUUUUCAAAUAUCAUACAUUCUAUGAUUUAAUUAUCAAAAAGCUGAAUUAGCACGAUUAAUCGUUGAGUGUAAACGUGACUUAAUCUAUAUUCAUUUGAAAGCAUAGCAAACCAGAAUGAUGUUAGAUGUUAACUAAGUGCAUUAAUUAUAUUUUAUUAUAAAUAUGGCGUCUGCAAAUGUAAACAAACUGCAUGCACAUCUACUGAAUGAACUUGACUGCCUGAUGUAAGGUCAAUUGAGACUAAUAUACUAGAGCUAGAGUUAUGUUUUUGGUGGCAAAUAAAUAACAGAGAGAGAUUUACUUGGAUUUGCUUGCUGGUUGACGUAUGUCUACAUUUCUAAAAUUGUCCAUUAUCUGUCGCCCUUGUGGGGCUUCCCGAAACCUACACUACAGUACCAAUUAAUGAUGAUCAUAAUAAUAUGAAUGUUGGAUAAUGAUGCACAAUGUUAUAGAUGGAAAGUUCAAACAAAGUCAAAGUUCCUGAUCCAACAUUUACUGGAGAUGUAGGACCUAUAUCAUGGCCUCGUUUGAACAGGCCUUUAAUUAAAUUAAACAAGUCCAGUUUUUGGAUGAUAAGAAAAGUGUGUUAAAAUGCAUGAACUGAUAUAUCACAUUACAAUAAAAUAUCAAUUAA
Molecule: non-coding RNA, 1370 nt
Organism: Paramuricea clavata
Lineage: Eukaryota; Metazoa; Cnidaria; Anthozoa; Malacalcyonacea; Plexauridae
Source: the annotation of a GenBank genome assembly